CAGAAAAAACUUGGCCUCAUACAAGAGGCAGGGAGCAGCUGAAGAUCAUUUGUAUGUGAUUAAGUAGGACAGAUUAAACUCAUUUAUCUUUAAAGAGGAGGGAGCUGCACCUAAAAUCAAGAGGCAUAUGACAUCAAACAGAAUAUUUGUUGGUUCUAUUUUUAAUUUUUAUAUUGAUCUCACAUUCCAAGUUAAGCUUUGUGUUUAACAUAAUGUAUUUCUGUAUUUAGAGCCUAUGAUCGAACAGCUAUCAAAUUCAGGGGCGUUGAAGCUGACAUCCAUUUUAGCUUUAAGUGAUUCUGAGACAGAUCUGAUGCAGGUAGGAUAGUGAUAGAAGUAAAUUCA
This 345-nucleotide unclassified non-coding RNA is filed under the name Hevea brasiliensis (rubber tree). The record is from RNAcentral. Lineage: Eukaryota; Viridiplantae; Streptophyta; Magnoliopsida; Malpighiales; Euphorbiaceae.